GGUGAAUGUAUUCCGGGUAGGUGGUCCUUAUUAAUAUUCAUCACCGGGUUUACAUUCAUCCC
RNAcentral lists this microRNA precursor (62 nucleotides) under Eisenia fetida (common brandling worm). RNAcentral describes it as "Efe-Mir-36-P9_pre stem-loop". The record is from RNAcentral. Lineage: Eukaryota; Metazoa; Annelida; Clitellata; Crassiclitellata; Lumbricidae.